This is a long non-coding RNA of Salvia splendens (bonfire salvia), 820 nucleotides long. RefSeq lists it as uncharacterized. The record is from RefSeq and is a predicted model, not a curated record. NCBI's taxonomy places the organism in Eukaryota, Viridiplantae, Streptophyta, Magnoliopsida, Lamiales, Lamiaceae. The transcript is spliced from 3 exons.
GAUCAUUUGUUCUACUUAAUAUGGAUCGUUAGAUCGUAUGCACCAACGGCCCAGAUUGAGGCUAGGAAUUUUUAUCCGCGUUGCAUUAUAGAGGUACUAUUUAUGCAUUAUAAGGGUAUAAUUAACCAUAUAUGAAAAUUGAACCGCCAGAUUUUGGGAUGUCUGAAAUUUAAGCGAUUUGGUGAUUUCAAAGCUUCAGUCGGUUCUUUCUCUCUCAUUCACCACUCUCUAAUUCCUCUCUACUCUCUCCACUCUCUCCACUCUCUAAAACCCUAGUUUCUUGCGCCGUCGUGCUUCGUCGAUAGACUGCGAGAAAAUUGUCAUCACUCGUCCAACAUCCCGGCACCCACCCUCCACCGGUGAUAACAACGAACCCAAACGGCGACACAUGUCCUGUUCUAUUCAACCAUUCGCCUAGAUCUAAAAUGCCUAAACGGGGACGUCCGCGCUCACAGCCAUCACAAGCUGCAGAGAAGCAGCUUAGAGUCGACAUAGACGAUGCGCCACAUGGAAACGUACUUCGGGGAGAAAGAGAAGGAUUGGGAUUGUGGGCUGAGCGCAAAGGAACAAAAAGCUUAGAGAUGUUUAGAAUCAAGUUUGCAAGGACGCUCCUUACCUGUGAGCACAACACCCGAGGUGCCGCAAACCAGUCCAAAGCAAUGAAGUAUUGGAGGGAGAGACCUGCCAAGUUCAACUUCGAACAGUGGGUCAAGAAUUAUGGUCUUUAGUGAGUGAUGGUUUCGGCUAUAGGUUGAUGGAGGUUAAUGGGUUGCUUGAUUGCUUGGUUGAAUUGCCAAUCUUAAACAAAACGUUUUUUUUU